RNAcentral lists this ribosomal RNA (252 nucleotides) under uncultured bacterium. RNAcentral's name for it is "partial 16S ribosomal RNA". It matches the Rfam family "Bacterial small subunit ribosomal RNA", at positions 525 to 776 of the family's 1533-position model. The record is from RNAcentral.
ACGGAGGGUGCAAGCGUUAAUCGGAAUUACUGGGCGUAAAGCGCGCGUAGGCGGUUUGUUAAGUUGGAUGUGAAAGCCCUGGGCUCAACCUGGGAACUGCAUUCAAAACUGGCAGGCUAGAGUACGAGAGAGGGGGGUAGAAUUUCUAGUGUAGCGGUGAAAUGCGUAGAUAUUAGAAGGAAUACCAGUGGCGAAGGCGGCCCCCUGGCUCGAUACUGACGCUGAGGUGCGAAAGCGUGGGGAGCAAACAGG